GUCUAGAUAAAGAGGAAAAUGUUGACAUCUAAUGUUUAGGAUACAGGGCCCUGCGCAAGGCAGGUUUACCCCCAUAGAAUUACUAAGAAGAGGAAAGGGAAGGAUGCUUUCUCCGGGAUCCAUGCAGUCCACGAACAGUUCUUUCUUGGAGUGAUUGUAAUGUUUGAAUUGAAUGGUUUGGCAUUUUGACUUUUGCAAUAAACAUUGUCCAACCUUUUUUUAAGAAAUUGACUGUAAUUAACAUUACAUUAAUAAAUUUUAUUUUU
Hermetia illucens (black soldier fly) is the source of this 266-nucleotide long non-coding RNA. RefSeq lists it as uncharacterized. The record is from RefSeq and is a predicted model, not a curated record. The transcript is spliced from 2 exons. Lineage: Eukaryota; Metazoa; Arthropoda; Insecta; Diptera; Stratiomyidae.